AUUAUCCACCAACAUUCUCUCCAACACAGCUUCAUGGAAUUUAUGAUCUCAACGCUAUCAGCCAACUUCUCAUCCCUGAGACCUCUCCCCAGAUCCCGUGGCAAAAUGCUCAGGAUACCCAAUGGGAUGAGAAAAGAGAAAAGGCUUUGAAGUUAGACCUGGACUGGACAGUUUCAUUUCAAGGAGGGCAGAACAGGUAAAAGUCAUAAGUAUCAUUCAGGCUUACAUAGAUAUAUUUGAUGAUGUGAACCCAGGGAUCAAUGGAAUUGUCAAGUACAGGAAUCUUGGGCAACCAAGCACACCUGCCAUGCUUCAAGAAGAGCCAGUCACAUCAGUAUGGGGGGAGCCACUGGGGUUCUAGUCCAGUCACAGGUCAGGAUGCGAUGAUAUAGAUCAUGGAAGAAGGAUCGUUGUCCUUUCUAUCUUAUCCCUUUUGACCACACAACUAAGUCCUGGACUUAUUUUAUAUUGAUGUACUUUGUGCUAUGAGGACUUAAAACAGGCUGUAAAGGAUUCACUUCUAUUCCCACUGGACAAUGGCUGAUGAUAUCAGCAGUGAAGUUGUGACCUCCAGUGGGUAUUGGAAGAAACUGUACCAUUCUGGAUAGGUUAUUUGGGAAGCCCGUGUCUUGGUUGACUUCUCUUCAAUGUGUCUGGGUUUCCUGAAGUCAGAAGAUUUCUGUCUGUAGGAGUUCCAGGAAAUGAGCCCUCUGACAUCAAAAGACUCUUCGGUUAGAAUGUUUUCUUUGCAAUAAGACUUCCAGGCAUCAAUUCUAGGCACAACUGCUUCCAGUAUAAAAAGAAGGCUGCCUAAAACAAAGAAGAAAUAAACUUUCAUAACUCCCUUGCUCAUCUCCCAAAACAAGUCUACCUCUCAUCAAGUUCUGGGAAGAGUCCUGGAUGGUGCAUUCCGUGGAGGAUAUAAUAACACUGUGGUGUGUCAACUUGGGUAGGCAAAAUUAUAUUCCCCAGAAUUAACUUUCUAUAAUGUUUCUUGAUAAGUGGGCUACUAGAGAUAAUCUCUUGUGUGAAUUAGAAGAUGGAAGGGAAGUAGCAGCCAUUCUAUGGCAUACACACUACUCCCGGUUAUUUAAGCAUGAAUAUAGUUUCUGCUGCAAAGGGAUUUUCCAGAUGUACUAGAAUACCCUAAUCAGUUGACUUUGAGUUAGAGGAAUUGUCCUGGGUGGGCCUGACUUAAUCAGUUAGAAGGCCUGAAAACCUAGGUAAUACCAUUCAGGACAUAGGCAUGGGCAAGGACUUCAUGUCUAAAAUACCAAAAGCA
This is a non-coding RNA of Chlorocebus sabaeus (green monkey), 1282 nucleotides long. The record is from RefSeq and is a predicted model, not a curated record. NCBI's taxonomy places the organism in Eukaryota, Metazoa, Chordata, Mammalia, Primates, Cercopithecidae.